Molecule: long non-coding RNA, 722 nt
Organism: Cryptomeria japonica (Japanese cedar)
Lineage: Eukaryota; Viridiplantae; Streptophyta; Pinopsida; Cupressales; Cupressaceae
Exons: 4
Source: RefSeq, a predicted model, not a curated record
AUGACAUUGCAUAGGACAUGGAGUAAAUGGACAUGGCACAUGUAAUUGAAGGCCACUUGAAUGUCGAUGUAUUGCUUAGGUGCAUGUUGUCUCUAUUGGUGGACAGAAAACAUGUCUUGUCCUCUUCGAAACAACCACUUUUGCACACUGAUAAAGAAUUGCAGGGGAAAAUAGCACCUCUCACGCACUCUAUGUUGGCUCAGAAAAUGUAAUACCAGGGGCUACUUCGCGGUGCUUCAUCAUUCUUUUCCAGAGCCUUGAAAGAGCCCUUGUUUUUUUCCCUAUGCUUCCAGCUCGAACAUAAGUGAAAUAGUUACUGUACGUACAUCCUUUUAAACUCUUUUAAAGGCUAGAGAUUCCCACAACAAAAAUACAAAGGUAGAAAUAAUUCCAGUUUUGCAGAACCUGAGAGCCUUCAACAUGAUGAUUGCGAUCCAUUACAAAGAAGAGGCUUCUUUCUUAUUUGAAUUGAAAUAUUUAUUAUUCCAUGCCAACACUUCCAAAUAAGAUAAUUUGGUGGUUCAGACAAAAUUAUGUUUUCAGUUUUACUUAAUUCUAUAUUUGUUGUUUUUGCCUUUAUGUUUACUUCUAGACCCCGACUCAUGUAAUGGACCAGCACUAUUAUUUGUUCACUGUUAUACCUGAUUACUCAACAUAUCAUGGAACACUACAAAUUUUGCCUCUACAAUAGUAAAUAUGCAACAUACUUUAUUGAAUAUUGA